RNAcentral lists this ribosomal RNA (471 nucleotides) under uncultured Bay of Fundy bacterium BA10-1B. Its description in RNAcentral is "partial 16S ribosomal RNA". It matches the Rfam family "Bacterial small subunit ribosomal RNA", at positions 366 to 828 of the family's 1533-position model. Lineage: Bacteria; Pseudomonadati; Pseudomonadota; Gammaproteobacteria; Alteromonadales; Alteromonadaceae. The record is from RNAcentral.
GCACAUGGGGCGCAAGCCUGAUGCAGCCAUGCCGCGUGUGUGAAGAAGGCCUUCGGGUUGUAAAGCACUUUCAGUCANGAGGAAAGGUUAGUNGUUAAUACCUGCUAGCUGUGACGUUACNGACAGAAGAAGCACCGGCUAACUCCGUGCCAGCAGCCGCGGUAAUACGGAGGGUGCGAGCGUUAAUCGGAAUUACUGGGCGUAAAGCGNACGCAGGCGGUUUGUUAAGCUAGAUGUGAAAGCCCCGNGCUCAACCUGGGAANNGCAUUUNGAACUGGCAAACUAGAGUGUKRUAGAGGGKRGUGGAAUUUCAGGUGUAGCGGUGAAAUGCGUAGAGAUCUGGAGGAANACCNAUGGCGAAGGCAGCUACCUGGGNCAACACUGACGCUCAUGUGCGAAAGCGUGGGGAGCGAACAGGAUUAGAUACCCUGGUAGUCCACACCCGUAAACGMUGUCUACUAGAAAGCUCGG